CCAGGCCCUACGGGGCGCAGCAGGCGCGAAAACUUCGCAAUGCAGGAAACUGUGACGAGGGAACUCCAAGUGUCCAUGCAUUGUAUGGACUGUUUGCCAGCCUAAAAAGCUGGUAGAGUAAGGGGUGGGAAAGACCGGUGCCAGCCGCCGCGGUAACACCGGCACCUCAAGUGGUAGCCACUAUUAUUGGGCCUAAAGCGUUCGUAGCCGGCUUGGUUAAUUCCUGGGUAAAUCGUACCGCUCAACGGUGCGGAUUCCGGGGACACUGCCAGGCUUGAGACCGGGGGAGAUCAGAGGUACUUGCGGGGGAGCGGUGAAAUGUUGUAAUCCCGCAGGGACCACCAAUGGCGAAGGCAUCCGAUCAAAACGGCUCUGACGGUGAGGGACGAAACCCUGGGGCGCAAACGGGAUUAGAUACCCCGGUAGUCCAGGGCGUAAACGCUGCUGACUUGGUGUUGGGGGCCCUGCGAGGGCGUCCAGUGCCCGGCACGAAAGUAUUGAGUCAGCCGCCUGGGGAGUACGGUCGCAAGACUGAAACUUAAAGGAAAUUGGCGGGGGGAGCACUGCAAACGGGUGGAGCGUGCGGGUUUAAUUUGGGAUUC
Molecule: ribosomal RNA, 602 nt
Filed under: uncultured Methanobrevibacter sp.
Lineage: Archaea; Methanobacteriati; Methanobacteriota; Methanobacteria; Methanobacteriales; Methanobacteriaceae
Description: bacterial SSU rRNA
Rfam family: Archaeal small subunit ribosomal RNA
Source: RNAcentral